This 27-nucleotide non-coding RNA is filed under the name Homo sapiens (human). Lineage: Eukaryota; Metazoa; Chordata; Mammalia; Primates; Hominidae. The record is from RNAcentral.
UGGCUCGAAAGAAGAAUUGAACUGUGA